RNAcentral lists this ribosomal RNA (241 nucleotides) under uncultured bacterium. RNAcentral describes it as "partial 16S ribosomal RNA". It matches the Rfam family "Bacterial small subunit ribosomal RNA", at positions 15 to 234 of the family's 1533-position model. The record is from RNAcentral.
GAUCAUGGCUCAGGAUGAACGCUGGCGGCGUGCUUAACACAUGCAAGUCGAACGAAGCACUUUAUUUGAUUUCCUUCGGGACUGAUUAUUUUGUUGACUGAGUGGCGGACGGGUGAGUAACGCGUGGGUAACCUGCCUUGUACAGGGGGAUAACAGUUGGAAACGGCUGCUAAUACCGCAUAAGCGCACGGCGAUCGCAUGAUGCAGUGUGAAAACUACCGUGGUAUAAGAAUGGACCCGG